RNAcentral lists this ribosomal RNA (480 nucleotides) under uncultured bacterium. RNAcentral describes it as "partial 16S ribosomal RNA". It matches the Rfam family "Bacterial small subunit ribosomal RNA", at positions 28 to 523 of the family's 1533-position model. The record is from RNAcentral.
GACGAACGCUGGCGGCGUGCUUAACACAUGCAAGUCGAGCGAGAGAAAUUCCUUCGGGAAGGACUCUAGCGGCGGACGGGUGAGUAACACGUGGGUAACCUGCCUCAUAGAGGGGAAUAGCCUUUCGAAAGGAAGAUUAAUACCGCAUAAGAUUGUAGUAUCGCAUGAUGCAGCGAUUAAAGGAGUAAUCCGUUAUGAGAUGGACCCGCGUCGCAUUAGCUAGUUGGUGAGGUAACGGCUCACCAAGGCGACGAUGCGUAGCCGACCUGAGAGGGUGUUCGGCCAGAUUGGGACUGAGACACGGCCCAGACUCCUACGGGAGGCAGCAGUGGGGAAUAUUGCACAGUGGGGGAAACCCUGAUGCAGCAACGCCGCGUGAGUGGUGACGGUCUUCGGAAUGUAAAGCUCUGUCUUCAGGGACGAUAAUGACGGUACCUGAGGAGGAAGCCACGGCUAACUACGUGCCAGCCGCCGCCGUAA